Molecule: long non-coding RNA, 487 nt
Organism: Physella acuta
Lineage: Eukaryota; Metazoa; Mollusca; Gastropoda; Physidae
Source: RefSeq, a predicted model, not a curated record
CGCAAACAUACACACACGCACACAUUGUAAAGUGGAGAGAGUAACAUAACUACACACUUGAAGUAGACUUUAAUUUCUCCUGUUUUUCGUUUGUUUUAAUUGUUUUGAUUACUUAUUUCGUCACACUGUCCAGGUCAGGUGGGACAUGAGUGGCCAAUCUCAGUACCCAGGAGGGACGUUCCAGCCAGGCCCACAGACCUACCCCACAGCCCCCAGCUACCAGGUGUACUACCAGCAGCCUGAGACCAAAGUUCUACUGGUCGAGCGAGACAGAUCGGAGGACGAUGCCGUCUGCUGCUGUCUUGGCUGUCUUAUCGUCUGCUGUUCCAUCAUCUUCUGCAGCGGUCGUAAUUAAAUAUUUUACACCAUCAACAGCCGCCCAAACCACUUGACCGCGUCUCAAAUGUACAUGUUCUUUGUCAUAUGUAUAUGUCAUGAAUUCUUUUCAUUGUAAAAAAAAAACAACAUUACACAUUUUUUUCAAGCG